AGAGAGACGCGACAGAAGGUUAGUUACCAGAGAGACGCGACAGAAGGUUCGUUACCAGAGAGACGCGACAGAAGGUUAGUUACCAGAGAGACGCGACAGAAGGUUAGUUACCAGAGAGACGCGACAGAAGGUUAGUUACCAGAGAGACGCGACAGAAGGUUAGUUACCAGAGAGACGCGACAGAAGGUUAGUUACCAGAGAGACGCGACAGAAGGUUAGUUACCAGAGAGACGCGACAGAAGGUUAGUUACCAGAGAGACGCGACAGAAGGUUAGUUACCAGAGAGACGCGACAGAAGGUUAGUUACCAGAGAGACGCGACAGAAGGUUAGUUACCAGAGAGACGCGACAGAAGGUUAGUUACCAGAGAGACGAGACAGAAGGUUAGUUACCAGA
Molecule: long non-coding RNA, 395 nt
Organism: Oncorhynchus keta (chum salmon)
Lineage: Eukaryota; Metazoa; Chordata; Actinopteri; Salmoniformes; Salmonidae
Exons: 4
Source: RefSeq, a predicted model, not a curated record